AAUGCCAGUGAAGAUAAUAGAAGCAUGGUAAAAGCAGAUCAAGAUUGAAUUCCUAGUUCUACUACUUUCCCUCAUUUCACUACUGCAUUU
This 90-nucleotide small RNA is filed under the name Microcebus murinus (gray mouse lemur). RNAcentral describes it as "Y RNA (ENSMICG00000023372.3)". Lineage: Eukaryota; Metazoa; Chordata; Mammalia; Primates; Cheirogaleidae. The record is from RNAcentral.